Molecule: ribosomal RNA, 433 nt
Filed under: uncultured bacterium
Lineage: Bacteria
Description: partial 16S ribosomal RNA
Rfam family: Bacterial small subunit ribosomal RNA
Source: RNAcentral
AACGAACGCUGGCGGCAUGCCUAACACAUGCAGGUCGAACGAGACCUUCGGGUCUAGUGGCGCACGGGUGCGUAACGCGUGGGAACCUGCCCUUAGGUUCGGAAUAACUCCCCGAAAGGGGUGCUAAUACCGGAUAAUGUCUUCGGCCCAAAGAUUUAUCGCCUUUGGAUGGGCCCGCGUUGGAUUAGCUCGUUGGUAGGGUAAAAGCCUACCAAGGCGACGAUCCAUAGCUGGUCUGAGAGGAUGAUCAGCCACACUGGGACUGAGACACGGCCCAGACUCCUACGGGAGGCAGCAGUGGGGAAUAUUGGACAAUGGGCGAAAGCCUGAUCCAGCAAUGCCGCGUGAGUGAUGAAGGCCUUAGGGUUGUAAAGCUCUUUUACCCGGGAUGAUAAUGACAGUACCGGGAGAAUAAGCUCCGGCUAACUCCGUG